UCCCAGUUCGGAUCGGAGCCUGCAACCCGGCUCCGUGAAGCUGGAUUCGCUAGUAAUCGCGCAUCAGCCAUGGCGCGGUGAAUACGUUCCCGGGCCUUGUACACACCGCCGUCAAGCCAUGGGAGCCGGGGGCGCCUGAAGUGCGGUACCGCGAGGGCCGCCCAAGGGCGAGACCGGUGACUGGGGCUAAGUCGUAACAAGGUAUC
Molecule: ribosomal RNA, 206 nt
Filed under: uncultured bacterium
Lineage: Bacteria
Description: partial 16S ribosomal RNA
Rfam family: Bacterial small subunit ribosomal RNA
Source: RNAcentral